AGCACUCAAUAAAUAACUUUGAUUGAUGGAUUCUUUGAAGGGUAUAUGAUGUCAUUAACAGUCCAUUAUGAUCCAUUUGUGAACCACAAUGCUUGGCCUCCCCUAGUACUGGGAACAACUCAGCAGUGACUGGCAUCCCAAAUCUAUGUCUCCUCCAAAUAGUUUGAGGGCUGUGGAGAAUAGAGGAAUUGAAGAAAAAACAGUUCUAUCAAAGAAAACUGGAUUUCUGGAAGGAGACUUCAUCCAAAAUCACCAACAAGACAUAGCAUGGCAGAGGAAUUAGGGAACAUUCUUCCUUCUUGCCACUUUACAGUGGUGAAGAUGACAAGUCCUACUAGAAGGCAGUGCAAGAGUUGAGCUUUCCUGGCCCAGCAGAGUUCAUGCGUAUGGAUGGGGGCUUCCUAAAGUUCUGAAAAAGAAAAUUUAAUCAGAAAAAUAAUCAUCUCUGCUGCGAUAGAGAAAAGGGGGCCCAGCAUGCCCAGCCGAACAGCUGUGGACCACCAAAAAAGUCAACUGGAGCUGGAAGGAGAUAUGGUCUUUGCUUUGACUCUUCUUCUUCUUUAUAAAGUUAGUAGUAAUGAGGAACACAUACGCAUCUACGUGUGCCUAAGACAAGCCUACUUGGAAAAGUUUGCAACUCCAUCACUAAAUAAAGCAGGUACUCUGAAA
Molecule: long non-coding RNA, 669 nt
Organism: Ornithorhynchus anatinus (platypus)
Lineage: Eukaryota; Metazoa; Chordata; Mammalia; Monotremata; Ornithorhynchidae
Exons: 5
Source: RefSeq, a predicted model, not a curated record